CCUACGGGAGGCAGCAGUGAGGAAUAUUGGUCAAUGGACGGAAGUCUGAACCAGCCAUGCCGCGUGCAGGAAGACGGCUCUAUGAGUUGUAAACUGCUUUUGUACAAGGGUAAACCUGAAUACGUGUAUUCAGCUGAAAGUACUGUACGAAUAAGGAUCGGCUAACUCCGUGCCAGCAGCCGCGGUAAUACGGAGGAUCCAAGCGUUAUCCGGAUUUAUUGGGUUUAAAGGGUGCGUAGGCGGAUUGAUAAGUUAGAGGUGAAAUGUCCGGGCUUAACUCGGGAACUGCCUCUAAUACUGUUGGUCUAGAGAACAGAUGCGGUAGGCGGAAUGUAUGGUGUAGCGGUGAAAUGCUUAGAGAUCAUACAGAACCCCGAUUGCGAAGGCAGCUUACCAAUCUAUAUCUGACGUUGAGGCACGAAAGCGUGGGGAGCAAACAGGAUUAGAUACCCCGGUAGUC
RNAcentral lists this ribosomal RNA (460 nucleotides) under uncultured bacterium. Its description in RNAcentral is "partial 16S ribosomal RNA". It matches the Rfam family "Bacterial small subunit ribosomal RNA", at positions 338 to 795 of the family's 1533-position model. The record is from RNAcentral.